UGAGCAACCUACCGAAAUGUGGGGAUAGCCGGACCCAACGGCCGAGUAAUACCGCAUACGCUCUCGAUGAGGCAUUUCAUUGAGAGGAAACCUACGGGACAUUUCGAGGGCUCGCGGCCUAUCAGCUAGUUGGAGAGGUAACGGCUCACCAAGGCGUCGACGGGUAGCCGGCUGAGAGGGUGUCCGGCCACACUGGGACUGAGAUACGGCCCAGACCUCCGUACGGGGAGCAG
Molecule: ribosomal RNA, 233 nt
Filed under: uncultured bacterium
Lineage: Bacteria
Description: partial 16S ribosomal RNA
Rfam family: Bacterial small subunit ribosomal RNA
Source: RNAcentral